Molecule: long non-coding RNA, 5685 nt
Organism: Numida meleagris (helmeted guineafowl)
Lineage: Eukaryota; Metazoa; Chordata; Aves; Galliformes; Numididae
Exons: 3
Source: RefSeq, a predicted model, not a curated record
GACUGGAAGUCUGGUCCCAGACCUCAUUUAAGGGUUGGCAGGGAAGGCAAAGGUAUCUUGUUGGAGAGCCGUGCCUACUUGAGACCUUCCAAAGGAACUGACACAAUUUCGCUUUGUUAAUCUCAAAGAAGUAAAUGAAAGCUGCGAGGAAGACUUGAUGUCAGAAGAUCCCUGAGUCUGACUAGAGCUGGAAGGGAGGCAGCAAUCACUUCAUCUCAUUCAUGCUUGUGACUGAAUGCUGUCUCUAGCAUUCCUUCUCAGAGGAAAGAAAAAGCAGAUGCCCACAGUGUGUGUGUGGGGGAGGUCUGCUCUCAGACCAGUCAGGCAUUUAUUAAAACAGUGAGCUGUGAAAUUCUGCUAUGGAUUUCCCCCAGCAUAAUUUGUGUCUGAGAUGUAUCACCUUGAGAAGACCAAUCCAGCACAAACCUGCACAGGGGGCAUCCUUGCUGGGUGCUAACAGGAGCCUCUCACAGAGGUCCCAGUGCAAUAUGUGGAGGAAAAAAAAAAAACCCACAACUUUUUCUUCCUGAUUAUUCAGUACAGGACAUGAGCAUCAUAAACAACCAGACUUCACUGUCUCUGCAAGAAGGGUGUUUGAGGGACUCUCUGGAGCAUUACCUCCCUUUUUCUCAAGUUUCCCCAGCUUCCCUGUGCAAUCACCAGUGCUGGGUGCUGCUCCACGUGUGGCUUUUCCCAAGAAGAGUGAAUUUGCUGUUUCCUCCAGUUGUCCCUGGCUUGGAGACCUCUGCAGUCUUCUGCUGUCCCAUGGGAGCAGCAGAUACCUGGAAGAGGGAGCAGACAUACCUCAGACAUUGUGCUCAGGCUGCUGGAUUUGGACUGGACAUCAGAGGAGGGUCCAUCCCAAAGGUGUGUUACCUUCCCAGUGCAAGCUCUUACAGCCUUCUUAGAGCAGAAUUUUGAAGUGUCACUCAUGGUUGUAAUCUACCACAAGGUCUUUGGACCACAUGCAAAGGUGGAAGAUCUCUGAACUAAAGUCUCUGGCAGGGAGACGUGGUUUCAGGGGGACUCAGAAAAGAUCCUGCCAUCCCAAAUCCUACUCCUGGUGAAGGACCUGUGGUGGGAUUGUAGAGGAACUUUGUCCCUUCCCAUCCAACCUUGACAGAGGAUUUUUGGCAGGAUAUGAGCAUGGGGCUCCUUGUGAAGGAGCGUUCAGCUCCAGACCUGGCCAGCGUGGACACACAGAGCUCCGUGGGGCUCCAGGGCAAACCUGCACUUCCAGCAACACAGAGGGACAGCCUCAGCCUUGGUGAGUAUGUGAAGAAGUAUGAGAAAAGGGGAACUCAAUUAUUAAGGCCAUGUGAAUAUUUUUGGGCAGAAGUCCAAGUCUGGCAGUCUCAGUGAGCUGAAACCUACCACACCCAUGCCCAACAAUGCAUAUUCUUUUUGGCAUACCAGGGGGCAAAGGGCGGCCACUCACAUGCCUGUGCUAGGACUUUGUUUCACAGCUUCGUGCUGUGGAAUGGGGACAUCCCAACACAAACGUUGUCCCAUUGUCCCUCCGCCCCAGUACUCCCACGGUCCAGAGCUGGUCUCCAAAGAGCAGAUAGAGGAGGUGCUCUGGGGUUGCAUUUCCAACCCCAAGACCAUCUGCACUACAUGAACUUGCCAAGCUCAGCAUUUCUCACCCCAAUAACCUAUGGAAGGAUUUGCACCAUUGUUAAAAAAAAUUCAGGGGCUGGCUUACUACAGGAUGUUAUAGUUUGAUUUUUGGUGAUGGUUUCUCCAGGAGUUACUGUAAUAAAGAACUCAGUGCUUACUGAGUUUUGGGUACCAAAUGUCCAGGAGAGCACUGACUCUCAGCCGGGAUCCACUCUCAUCAUACUUGUACAAACCUUAAGUAACAUUCCUGGUGUCACUAGAGAUACUGCAUGUUUGGAGACUCAUAAAUGAAAAUAGGAUUUGGCCUACGAUUUCUCCCAACAAUCUUUUCUCAUGCAAAUAUGGUCAUUUUGCACACGCCUUGAAUACCAAAUUAGCACGCACUAUGCUGCUUGGGCAGGCUCGCACUUCCCGCAUGCAACCCAUGCCCUAUUGUUGGCCAUGUUGAGUGUGGGCACACGGCUUUCCCUGCCUGGGUGGGGACUGCUCGCUGUAAAAUCAGGUUGCUGGUGCUGCACCACUAGCGGUGUCAGCCCAUCAGAUGGGGCAGAUGCUUCCAUGGCAAUAUUCCGCCCUUGAGCUAGGAGAAGAAAUAAAGAUGCAACAAGGAGCCUGGGAAGUCAACAAGGAGCUUUGCUCCAUCUCCUGGUUGAAGGUGCUUGAGCAUCACAACAUGGGGAGGGGAUGGGUGGAAACUCCAAGCUUAGGUAAGUGGCUAUGAGGCAGAAGCGCAGAAGAGAAAGGCAUAUUUCUGCUCUGCCACCCGUAACCUAGGAGAGAGCCCUCAUUCCCCAGUCCCUUCAGGUGCGGUGAGGGACCCGAGCCGGGUGAGUUCACUUUUGUCUGGCUCCGCAUCGCGCUGAUCCUGCUGCAGCUGGGAGGGGAUUUCCCGUCGGCUCUAACCCAGCUGCUUAAAAAUACUCCUCCACUAAGUGAGCUAAUAUUUCAUGAAUAAAUUGAAGUGGUCAAGUCCCAUUUUGUGCAGAAAGCACGGUUCCCUGCCGAUUAGCCUCCUUGGUACUUUCGGGGUUAUAAAUAACUUCACAGGCUCAUUCUCUAUGCCUUUCAAAAUAAAAGCAACAUUCGGUUAUUUGAUUUUUUUUUAAUUUUAUGCAAAUGAUCUUCUGUUCUGUGUUAUUAUGUAAACGAGCCAACUGAAAUGGUAAUGAGGGAACCCAGAAGUAUGCAUAUAUUAACUGCCGCUAUGGAGCUUUACACCUACAGAAAUGGCACUGAAUAACAUUUCUGAGGGAGGGACAGGUGUCCUGAGGGUGCAGAUUUUAUUCCAGAGCUUGGUCCCUUCUGAAAUCCCUAUAUACGAACAUUUCCUGCUCAGGAGAGUACUCAGGCAUUCCAUUCAGAGAGCGAGUCAGUGCUUCACUUCUCAAUGGCUUAUUGUCAGCGUGAGAAAACACGGUGUGCUCAAUGACCAUCAGCCUUGCAGCAGCACAGCACUUCGUGUCCCUCCCCAUGCUCCAGUGAGACUAGCUCAGACCUGAGCCCACCUGAGACCAGGCGGCAGCCCACAAUGGGGACAAAGCUGUAGGAAUUUUUCUCUCUGUGUGCUCUGUUGUAAAAGAAGAAGCUAUAAGGAAACCAUCCCUGUGUGCCCUGCUCCAGGGCUUGGGCAAAAAGAGCAUUUCUGGACCAGGGUGAGCUUAUGGUGUGAUGUACAGAUAGGAUGAUAUGUCCUAAGAAUAACUUCUUGCCUGCUUAAAGGAGAAGCAAAACCCCUUUCCAGAGGCAAUGCAGACUCCAAUGAAGUCCACAGCAAAACUCACCCACAUGAGAGGAAUAAAAAAGUUUCUGGUCCCUGAAGUGCAUCCUGGAGCCUGCUCAGCAGCCCUGCCCUGCAGUGUGCUCCCAUGCUCCCCCUGAUCUCCUGUAUGGGACAUGCCCCAGUCAAGAAAAACCCCACCAGAAUAAGAGGAUAAGCAAUAUCUUCAUUAUCUACACUUCUCAAGAACAUUCAAGGAUUUCGACCAAGCUGAAAGCAUCGGUUUCUCACCUUCAUCAAUCACCCUGAGAGAGCUGAAGCUCAGCCCACAAGGGAACAGAUGCCUCAAAUCCUUUCUAAUCCCCGUGUUUAGCAGCGAUGUUUGAAGUGAUUAGAGGCACAGCAAACGCUGUUCUUGUGCAGGUAGAGCAGAUGUUGGACGCUGAGGUGCACUAAGCUCUCAGUUGGGGCUGGACUGCAGAAAUUUUGGCCCAAAUCCAUCUCAGCUCAUCUGAUGUUGUGAUUAUUUGGCUCCAGAUGCAGCAGACUGGACCUGUAGCAUCACAACAUGGUUCCACUUCUCUCAUUUUGUGAACUCACUGCUGCAUCAGAAGCUGGAGUGAAAUCUGGAGGCCUCCUGAAAGCAACAGGAGCCCUGUCCUUGAUUCCAGGGCAACGGGGAUCUCCAAAUCUGCGGCUGCUGUUAAUAAUUAAAUGUGAACCAGCAAAUAAUUGAUAAUUUGUCGUAGCAAAAACUACACCAAGUGCAUAGAUCUGAUCCAAAAGCCCAUGAAAGGCUUCUGCUGAGCUGACUGGAUUUUGGAACAAGCCCAUAGUGGUAAUAAAAAUAAAUCCCUGUCAUUAGGCAAAAGGGAAAAUCCAAAAGAUGCCAUUUGAGCCAUUUAGGGCUCAAAACCUGCAUCCUGGGGUUAGGUCUGGGCGGCCCCAGAACCUCAGGUCAUGGCCUUGUGAAAUGACAGUUCCCAGUGACUGGGGAGCCCUGAGCCUGGACAGGGAAAGGAAAGAUCGCCAGGUUUGGGAUGCAGCUGCCCCAGCCCCCAUCUCUGCCUGGUUUUCCCAGGGAAGCCUGAUCUGCACCACGCCAUCGAUCCUUCCUCCCUACAGGCAUUUGUACAACAGUCCUGGCGGGGAUGCUUUGCCAUCCGAGAUGUAAAUGUCAUUUUGGGCAAUGCUGCAGGCUUUUCUGCUUUGUCUGCUUUCUCUAGAGUGUAUUUUCCCAGAGAUCUAGAAAUUUAUCACUUGGAAAGCACAGCCCAAACAGCAGGAUUUAUUGCUCAGAAACCAGGAAACCCUGACUUUUAAAGCAUGUUUAAAGUCCAUUUUUCACACUGGGAUGAGACAAAUGUCACCAACAUCAGCGCCAGGAGCACACUGGGCCCCAACAUGAAGUCAGGACAAAAUUGUGCCCAAAGAGGACAUUUUGGAUUGGGAACUCAUCUGCACUCUCUGCUUUUAACAGACUCCUUUCACUCCAGAAAGAGAUCUUCAGGUGCAGACAAUUAAACUUCUGGCCAUAGCACUCAGGCAGCACAAGUGUCUCAGCCUCUGCUGAUGGCUGGAGGCUGGCAGAGAGCAGGGAAAGGGCCACUGUGUAAAAGCUUUUUUUUUUUAAACUGUGCUCUGAGAGGGGUUUUGUUUGCUCCUGCCCGGCAAUCUGCAUGUGCUUUUAGGGGAUGCAGUUUUAGACAGACUUUUGCUCUCCUCCAGUGCGGACAUUUCUAUCUUCCUUCCUACUCGAAAGCAAAUCUGAACAUCUAUGUCUACUUGAGACUGAUUGUUUUAGCAUUUUUUUCUGUGGUGUUCAUAUUCUCUGCAUUUCCAGAAAUAGAGCACAAACAUCUACUACUCGGAUGUUUUGUUAAGUUAUUUUCAUUAAAAAAAACAAACUUGCUUCCAUCUGGGAGUUUUGUUAAGUGUUUUAGAUACAUUUUUAAGUUCUUUGUAUCCCAUAACCAGAUGUGGAGUUCAGCCAACUGUUCCAGGGCUCGAACACAUGGAUCUUCGGGGAUGGUCGGGAUCUGGCUCUGAAACUCUCACCUGACUUCAUUCUGAUAGACGUCGCUCCAAGCUCCUCCUCCGCAGAUCUGAUUUCUCCCAAAUGUUGAGGAUAUCUGGAUUCCAGCCCAAACCUCGUCCAUUUGGGUCCAGCUUUAUCCGCACCUCCAUCUGGUGACCAGCAGAGCUGCCCCUUGCAGCCCAGAGCAGCUUUCCCCUCUGCCUCCAUCCCAGCCACAGCACAAAUGGCAGAUAUCUUUCUUCUCCUUUCAUAGCGUUAAGAAGCUGAAAUCUCAGGAGGAGCAUUACAAUUUCCAGUGGAACAAGCUACC